RNAcentral lists this ribosomal RNA (512 nucleotides) under uncultured bacterium. RNAcentral describes it as "partial 16S ribosomal RNA". It matches the Rfam family "Bacterial small subunit ribosomal RNA", at positions 28 to 523 of the family's 1533-position model. The record is from RNAcentral.
GAUGAACGCUGGCGGCGUGCUUAAUACAUGCAAGUCGAACGAAUUGAAGAUGUGCUUGCACAUCUGAUGUUAGUGGCGAACGGGUGAGUAAUACAUAGGCAACUUGCACCAAGGACUGGGAUAACACUUAGAAAUGAGUGCUAAUACCGGUUAGGCAAUACAAAGGCAUCUUAGUAUUAUUAAAGUUGGGUAACCAAAACCAUGGGAUGGGCUUAUGCUGUAUUAGCUAGUUGGUGAGAUAAAAGCCCACCAAGGCGAUGAUACAUAGCUGGUCUGAGAGGAUGAACAGCCACAUUGGGACUGAGACACGGCCCAGACUCCUACGGGAGGCAGCAGUAAGGAAUUUUCGGCAAUGGAGGAAACUCUGACCGAGCAACGCCGCGUGAGUGAUGAAGGCCUUCGGGUUGUAAAGCUCUGUUGUAAAGGAAGAAUGUAUAGAAAAGGAAAUGUUUCUAUAGUGACGGUACUUUACUAGAAAGUCACGGCUUACUACGUGCCAGCCGCCGCCGUAA